GGAAGUCUUUCUUUACAAAGACUCAAAGCCGUCACUGAAAACUAGAUUAAAACUGGAAAACAAGUCCUAGCUGGUGCAAGCCAAACACCUACGUUGACCCGGUGCUAUUUUCUAUGGUGGUUGGGAUGGCUGGUGAGCUAUUUUGCCUUUUGUUUGAUUUGACCGUGUUUUCGCCUUUUGUUUCUUAAUGAUCACACCAUUGCUAAAUCCAGAGCAGUAAACAGUCCACAGCGAAGCCGCCUUUUUGCCAGCCCAACCCUGGAAAGUUUGCAGUCGUGGAAGGAGCAGAAAAUACUGAGUGUAACUUACAAAAAGACUCCAUGGCACCGGGCUGAGCGGGCGAAGGGAGCAUCUCCCCAGUACCCUGGAACAUCCAUGGAGCUGUCUGCGAUAGUCCCUUUGGCUCGCCUCGGGUCUGAACCUUGGUGGCAGAGAAGAAAUUGAAGUGCUUUGGAGAUGGAGGGGCUGAAAGAGCGAGGAAACCAUCCCACCCAUCCUAAGGUUUCGUUCCCAUUUGAUUGUGCGGUUUCUGCACCCUUAAAUCAGCUUUUCGGGGCUCCGGGGCUCGCCUGCUCUUCCAAAGAGAAAAAGGACAAAAGGCCGGCGUCCAUGUUGGCACCAUGACGCAGCAUCUCUCCCGCCUGCAGCCGGGCGCUGCCUGUCCUCCCGGCCGCGCUCGCUCCUCCCUCCCAAACAUGAGUUUUAUUUUCAGGUUUUGAGCCGAGCCGCAGGCUGGGUCGGGUUGGGGCCAAGGCUGGGGCCGCCCGGCUGCUCAAGGCUGCGGUGGCUAAUGGCGGCCGGCUCUCCUCCUUCCUUCCGCCAUUGUCUUUCCCCGGUUGUCGCUGGGAGGCAGUCCCGGGUCCUAAGAGCCUGCAAGGCAAGGCACCCGGGAUGCUGGUGACGGGUCUCUGGGGGCCUUGGGCCUCCGGGGCGUCGCGUACCACAGUUCCAGCACUCGCCCACCCACCCCAUCCCCGCCCGCCUGCCUGCCUCCGGGUGAGGCGGCCGCGGGAGGAGCCGGAGCAGGGCAGGGCGAGCCGCUGGAGGCGGGUUGAGGACCCUGAUCUCCGCUGAAGCCCCGGACUCCAUGGCCCAGGAGGGCACGAGGCCUCGCUCUGGCUGCUGUCCCUGCUGUUCUGCCUCGAAACAGAAGCCAAGUAGCCAAGGGCUAAGAGGCUGGCCCAAGCCUCCCUUCACUGCCCACUCGGCUUCAGGAGACCCACCCCUGCCUCCCCCAGUCGUUCUUUGAUAGCCGAGCCGGAGGGGCGGGUCUCCCCUUUUGUCCCCCCACUUUGGGAUAGAGGCCCUUGCGGUGCCUGAGUCCCUUUACUUGGUCGCCAGGGGCUCAGCCUCCAACCCAGCUCUGCGGGUUGGAGGUGUGUGUGUGUUGGAGGAGGGGGGCGGUUGGGGCCUGGGAAAGCCGAUUGGGGCCUCCCCCUCGGGAACCCCCCCCUCCCGUGACAGUGCCCGAGGGUGAAGCCUUAGAUCUCAGCCUUCCUGGGGGAGGGGAUGCGGACAGGGCGGGCCUUUGGAAAUGCAGAUGAGCCGUCUCCUGCUGCUCGUCGCCCGGGCUGAACCUUAGUGACUCAGCCACCCCCACCCCACCCCCACCCAUUCCAGAGUGAGGGCUGCCUUGUCAGCUGGAAAGGGGGGGGCAGCACUUCUGAGGCUCCCUUUCUAUCUAGUAGACCCUGUUGGUUUGCGUUUGGCCGAUCCAUUCUCUGACCUACAAACUGUGGGACUGCCCUAACAGAUCGUCCGAAUUCACAGGUCUUGCCCGGAGCCCGGAGUAAUGUCUCGGUUCUCCCCACAGUAGACAAUCCUUGCCUCCUCUGGACCUCUGGAACAGGCCUAAUUUGACUGACAGCUUGCCCACUAAGCCAGCCAGCCUCCCUGGCUCUGGACCAAGCCCGAAGAAACCUGGAAUCCUUGCAAAGCAUCCUCAAAGGGCCACUAAUAUAGCCGCAGCCCUUCCUCCCUUGCCUGGUUUUGACAGGAAUCAUCUAUUGACCCUUUGUAGCCAGCCCUCCUUCCCCUCUAACCAACAGUCAGGCCCUCCCUGAUAUAACUGUUACCUUGACAACCCCUUGGGCCUGUUUCCCCCUCACCACUGAAACCUGAAGAGGGUUUUCAAGCUACAGUACAUGUGCCCAAGUUGGGCACCGCUUCUGCUUCCAUUGGCACAUCUUCUGCCCAACUGUACCCAAUAUAACAAACACAGCCUUCCCUGGUCCCUUAGCUGAUCUCACUGGUGCUGGGAACUCCUGUCAAACUGCUUCCUCCAGACUGUGCCUCCCCCACAGGCAGGAACAUGGUUUCU
Molecule: long non-coding RNA, 2320 nt
Organism: Microtus oregoni (creeping vole)
Lineage: Eukaryota; Metazoa; Chordata; Mammalia; Rodentia; Cricetidae
Exons: 5
Source: RefSeq, a predicted model, not a curated record